Molecule: ribosomal RNA, 1264 nt
Filed under: metagenome
Description: bacterial SSU rRNA
Rfam family: Bacterial small subunit ribosomal RNA
Source: RNAcentral
GGCCUUGCGCUCUUUGAGCGGCCGAUGUCAGAUUAGCUAGUUGGUGAGGUAAAGGCUUACCAAGGCGACGAUCUGUAGCGGGUCUGAGAGGAUGAUCCGCCACAUUGGAACUGAGACACGGUCCAGACUCCUACGGGAGGCUGCAGUGGGGAAUUUUGGACAAUGGGGGCAACCCUGAUCCAGCCAUGCCGCGUGAGUGAAGAAGGCCUUCGGGUUGUAAAGCUCUUUCGGCCGGGGAGAAAUCGCAUGGGCCAAUACCCUGUGUGGAUGACGGUACCGGAAUAAGAAGCACCGGCUAACUACGUGCCAGCAGCCGCGGUAAUACGUAGGGUGCGAGCGUUAAUCGGAAUUACUGGGCGUAAAGCGUGCGCAGGCGGUUUUGUAAGACAGGCGUGAAAUCCCCGGGCUUAACCUGGGAACUGCGUUUGUGACUGCAAGGCUAGAGUACGGCAGAGGGGGGUGGAAUUCCACGUGUAGCAGUGAAAUGCGUAGAGAUGUGGAGGAACACCAAUGGCGAAGGCAGCCCCCUGGGUCGAUACUGACGCUCAUGCACGAAAGCGUGGGUAGCAAACAGGAUUAGAUACCCUGGUAGUCCACGCUCUAAACUAUGUCAACUAGGUGUUGGGUGGGUAAAACCAUUUAGUACCGUAGCUGACGCGUGAAGUUGACCGCCUGGGGAGUACGGCCGCAAGGUUAAAACUCAAAGGAAUUGACGGGGACCCGCACAAGCGGUGGAUGAUGUGGAUUAAUUCGAUGCAACGCGAAAAACCUUACCUACCCUUGACAUACCAGGAACUUGCCAGAGAUGGCUUGGUGCCCGAAAGGGAGCCUGGACACAGGUGCUGCAUGGCUGUCGUCAGCUCGUGUCGUGAGAUGUUGGGUUAAGUCCCGCAACGAGCGCAACCCUUGUCGUUAAUUGCCAUCAUUUAGUUGGGCACUUUAACGAGACUGCCGGUGACAAACCGGAGGAAGGUGGGGAUGACGUCAAGUCCUCAUGGCCCUUAUGGGUAGGGCUUCACACGUCAUACAAUGGUCGGUACAAAGGGUUGCCAAGCCGCGAGGCGGAGCCAAUCCCAGAAAGCCGAUCGUAGUCCGGAUUGCAGGCUGCAACUCGCCUGCAUGAAGUCGGAAUCGCUAGUAAUCGUGGAUCAGCAUGUCACGGUGAAUACGUUCCCGGGUCUUGUACAGACCGCCCGUCACACCAUGGGAGCGGGUUCCGCCAGAAGUAGGUAGCCUAACCGCAAGGGGGGCGCUUACCACGGCG